Molecule: ribosomal RNA, 1444 nt
Filed under: metagenome
Description: bacterial SSU rRNA
Rfam family: Bacterial small subunit ribosomal RNA
Source: RNAcentral
AGAGUUUGAUCCUGGCUCAGGAUGAACGCUGGCGGCGUGCUUAACACAUGCAAGUCGAACGAACCUUCGGGUUAGUGGCGGACGGGUGAGUAACGCGUGAGAAUCUGCCCUCAGGAGGGGGAUAACGGCUGGAAACGGCCGCUAAUACCCCAUAUGCCGAGAGGUGAAAUGAAUUUCGCCUGAGGAUGAGCUCGCGUCUGAUUAGCUAGUUGGUGUGGUAAAGGCUCACCAAGGCAUCGAUCAGUAGCUGGUCUGAGAGGAUGAUCAGCCACACUGGGACUGAGACACGGCCCAGACUCCUACGGGAGGCAGCAGUGGGGAAUUUUCCGCAAUGGGCGCAAGCCUGACGGAGCAACGCCGCGUGAGGGAUGAAGGCCUCUGGGCUGUAAACCUCUUUUAUCAAGGAAGAAGAUCUGACGGUACUUGAUGAAUAAGCCACGGCUAAUUCCGUGCCAGCAGCCGCGGUAAUACGGGAGUGGCAAGCGUUAUCCGGAAUUAUUGGGCGUAAAGCGUCCGCAGGCGGUCUUGAAAGUCUGUUGUUAAAGCGUGGAGCUCAACUCCAUUUCAGCAAUGGAAACUAGAAGACUAGAGUGUGGUAGGGGCAGAGGGAAUUCCCGGUGUAGCGGUGAAAUGCGUAGAUAUCGGGAAGAACACCAGUGGCGAAGGCGCUCUGCUGGGCCAUAACUGACGCUCAUGGACGAAAGCCAGGGGAGCGAAAGGGAUUAGAUACCCCUGUAGUCCUGGCCGUAAACGAUGAACACUAGGUGUCGGGGGAAUCGACCCCCUCGGUGUCGUAGCCAACGCGUUAAGUGUUCCGCCUGGGGAGUACGCACGCAAGUGUGAAACUCAAAGGAAUUGACGGGGGCCCGCACAAGCGGUGGAGUAUGUGGUUUAAUUCGAUGCAACGCGAAGAACCUUACCAGGGUUUGACAUCCUGCGAAUCCCUUGGAAACUUGGGAGUGCCUUCGGGAGCGCAGUGACAGGUGGUGCAUGGCUGUCGUCAGCUCGCGUCGUGAGAUGUUGGGUUAAGUCCCGCAACGAGCGCAACCCACGUCUUUAGUUGCCAGCAUUAAGUUGGGCACUCUAGAGAGACUGCCGGUGAUAAACCGGAGGAAGGUGUGGAUGACGUCAAGUCAUCAUGCCCCUUACAUCCUGGGCUACACACGUACUACAAUGCUACGGACAAAGGGCAGCAAACUCGCGAGAGCUAGCAAAUCCCAUAAACCGUGGCUCAGUUCAGAUCGUAGGCUGCAACUCGCCUACGUGAAGGAGGAAUCGCUAGUAAUCGCAGGUCAGCGUACUGCGGUGAAUACGUUCCCGGGCCUUGUACACACCGCCCGUCACACCAUGGAAGUUGGCCACGCCCGAAGUCGUUACUCCAACCCGCAAGGGAGGAGGAUGCCGAAGGUGGGGCUGAUGACUGGGGUGAAGACGAAACAAGGUA